CCUACGGGAGGCAGCAGUGGGGGAAUCUUGCGCAAUGGGCGAAAGCCUGACGCAGCCAUGCCGCGUGAAUGAUGAAGGUCUUAGGAUUGUAAAAUUCUUUCACCGGGGACGAUAAUGACGGUACCCGGAGAAGAAGCCCCGGCUAACUUCGUGCCAGCAGCCGCGGUAAUACGAAGGGGGGCUAGCGUUGCUCGGAAUUACUGGGCGUAAAGGGAGCGUAGGCGGAUAGUUUAGUCAGAGGUGAAAGCCCAGGGCUCAACCUUGGAAUUGCCUUUGAUACUGGCUAUCUUGAGUAUGGGAGAGGUUAGCGGAACUCCGAGUGUAGAGGUGAAAUUCGUAGAUAUUCGGAAGAACACCAGUGGCGAAGGCGGCUAACUGGCCCAUUACUGACGCUGAGGCUCGAAAGCGUGGGGAGCAAACAGGAUUAGAUACCCUGGUAGUCCACGCCGUAAACGAUGAGUGCUAGUUGUCGGCAUGCAUGCAUGUCGGUGACGCGAGCUACGACAUAAGACACCUCCGCCGUCGGGGAGGUACGGUCGGCGAAGAAGUUAAACGUAACGUAAAGGUAAAGUUAGUUACGGUACGUUAGAGACGUUGCCGACGGACGACCGACGAGGGAGGAGG
RNAcentral lists this ribosomal RNA (624 nucleotides) under uncultured bacterium. RNAcentral's name for it is "bacterial SSU rRNA". The stretch from base 1 to 521 matches the Rfam family "Bacterial small subunit ribosomal RNA", at positions 338 to 873 of the family's 1533-position model. The record is from RNAcentral.